This 677-nucleotide ribosomal RNA is filed under the name uncultured archaeon. RNAcentral's name for it is "bacterial SSU rRNA". It matches the Rfam family "Archaeal small subunit ribosomal RNA", at positions 563 to 1175 of the family's 1478-position model. The record is from RNAcentral.
UGUUACCGCUUGCUGAGAAUACUACUAGACUUGGGAUUGGGAGAGGGUAGAGGUAUUCCUUGUGUAGGGGUUAAAUCCUUUAAUCCAAGGAAGACCACCGGUGGCGAAGGCGUCUACCUGGAACAAGUCCGACGGUGAGGGACGAAAGCGUGGGGAGCGAACGGGAUUAGAUACAAACUUUUCUAAUCCGAAGAUACCAAAAAUGAUUGGAUGGUUUGCUAGAAACCCCGGUAGUCCACGCCGUAAACGAUGCCCGCUUGAUGUUGCAAACUUUACGGGAGUUUGCAGUGUCGGAGUGUAAAUGUUAAGCGGGCCACCUGGGGAGUACGGCCGCAAGGCUAAAACUUAAGGGAAUUGGCGGGAGAGCACACAAGGGGUGUGAGCUGCGGUUUAAUUGGAUUCAACGCCGGGAAUCUCACGAGGGUUGACAGCAGAAUGAAGGUCAGCCUAACGGGUUUACCAGACAAGCUGAGAGGUGUUGCAUGGCCAUCGUCAGCUCGUACCUUGAGGCGUGCGGUUAAGUCCGUUAACGAGCGAGACCCACGCUAUCAUUUGCGAUCGUGUUCUAGGUCCAAAAGACCAAAAACACGAGCACUAUGAUAGGACCGCUGGUGAUAAACCAGAGGAAGGAGUGGGCGACGGUAGGUCAGUAUGCCCCGAAAAUCUCUAGAGGAUCC